GCAUAUCAAUAAGCGGAGGAAAAGAAACCAACAGGGAUUGCCCUAGUAACGGCGAGUGAAGCGGCAACAGCUCAAAUUUGAAAUCUGGCGUCUUUGGCGUCCGAGUUGUAAUUUGCAGAGGGCGCUUUGGCAUUGGCAGCGGUCCAAGUUCCUUGGAACAGGACGUCACAGAGGGUGAGAAUCCCGUACGUGGUCGCUAGCCUUUACCGUGUAAAGCCCCUUCGACGAGUCGAGUUGUUUGGGAAUGCAGCUCUAAAUGGGAGGUAAAUUUCUUCUAAAGCUAAAUACUGGCCAGAGACCGAUAGCGCACAAGUAGAGUGAUCGAAAGAUGAAAAGCACUUUGGAAAGAGAGUUAAAAAGCACGUGAAAUUGUUGAAAGGGAAGCGCUUGCAGCCAGACUUGCCUGUAGUUGCUCAUCCGGGUUUUUACCCGGUGCACUCUUCUAUAGGCAGGCCAGCAUCAGUUUGGGCGGUUGGAUAAAGGUCUCUGUCACGUACCUCCUCUCGGGGAGAACUUAUAGGGGAGACGUAAUGCAACCAGCCUGGACUGAGGUCCGCGCAUCUGCUA
Molecule: ribosomal RNA, 567 nt
Filed under: Boeremia foveata
Lineage: Eukaryota; Fungi; Ascomycota; Dothideomycetes; Pleosporales; Didymellaceae
Description: eukaryotic LSU rRNA
Rfam family: Eukaryotic large subunit ribosomal RNA
Source: RNAcentral